Molecule: long non-coding RNA, 1299 nt
Organism: Alligator sinensis (Chinese alligator)
Lineage: Eukaryota; Metazoa; Chordata; Crocodylia; Alligatoridae
Exons: 5
Source: RefSeq, a predicted model, not a curated record
GUCGGCCUCGCCGUGCGGGGAGCGCGACGGGGGCGAGGGUCGCGCUCAGUCGUGCUGCGCGGGGUGCGGCCGCCCGCGCCUAGCUCCUGCUGUGAUGGGUUUGGGGCCAAGCCACCCCUCCUCUGGUGGCUUAUAAGAAGAAAUGGGGGAGAAAGCAAAGCAAGGCCACCAUGGCAGGACACUACAGCCCAGCCCAGGUGGACGCCCCGAUGUCAGAGCUGAUGUACAAGAACAUAGAGCAGCACGAGCCAGGUGAUGCGGGUUCCCAGGAUGCCCCUGAGCUGGGCAAGGAGCAGCUGGACAUGGAUACCCCCCCGAAUCUUCCACAGCGCAGAUGGGGAGCAGAGCCGCAGGGAACAGCAGGGCAGCCACCAUCUACAGCCAGCCCAUGAAGACAGCCCCCAAGACCAACCCUGACAACGUCCAAUACUCCACUGUCAAGAUCCAACCAGCCCCGCAGAGCCGCGCACCUGCCUCAGACCUUACCUGUGACUAUGCCAACAUCAAGCACUACGCGUCAGCCGUGGGCAACCCCAUCACCCCUAGUCCUGGCACCAGUCUCAGGAGUGGGGACUGGGGGUCACGUCCUGGGAUCAGUGAUGGGAGAGAAGAUCAGUGGAGCUUUAUGGGUGGAAGGGGCUAUGUUGCCUGGAAAUUUUCUCUCCAUUUCCUGAGUCCCAUGGUCCCUAGGGCAUUGAAUUAUGCUAAUUAGGCUCUGUUAUGAAUUGAUUGCCUUAAGCCUGGCUUCUCAGGACAGCUAAGUACAAUGUACACAGCUUUGAACAAGGUGUGGAUAAUGGUGUGUGAUGUAAGAAGCUUUAACGAGGCCUGAGUGGUGGGCUGGAGUAUGGCAAAUUUUUAAUGAGCUGUGGACAGCUAAGCGGCUUUGAAUGAGGCAUGCACUGGAUGUUGGCACAAAAUGUAAUAAUAAGCUUUAAAGAGGAGUGGAUGGUGGGACCAAAUACUGGGGUGCUUUAAGGAGGUAUGGCUAAGCAGACACAAGAGGCUUUUAAUGAAGCAGAACAUAAUGUAACAAGCCUUAAUGAGGUGUGGACAGCUAUUUCCCCACCCUUUGGCUGAAAUUUCCAUAUGGAAAUCCAUGGCAUUUGCUAUUUGCAUAAUUGACCUACCUACCCAUCUUCCCGGCAGGCCUCUGAAGUGGCUGAGAUUUUAGCUGUUGUAUAAUGAGUAAUGUGUAUUUUACCCUGACUUGUAUCCACCUUGGGUGGGUGUCUCUGAGCCCACCACUGUUCUCCCCUGUGUGAUUCCUUGCUUUCAAAUAAAGCUCUAUCCUGCUCA